UGGCCAGAGGACUCAUUAGCUGAUUCCGCAGGAAUAGCUUUAACUCGUGCAGGUAAAAUGGAGUGUUGUUUAUCAUAUUCGGAAGCAACAACUGAGUAUGAUCUUUGGAAGACAGUUCUCUUUGCAAGAUCAGUAUCAGUUAUGGGACUGGUUUCUAAACUGUAGAUGGAACAAUGCAACAGAUACAAACUCAGAAGAGCUGAAUGAAAUGUAACUAUACUUAUAAUGAUGCAAAAUAUGAGACUCAAUAUUUCAUGUGGAGAAACAAAAUCAAAGCCAAAUUGAUAAUCUCUCUUUAAAUCAUAAUUUGAUCCUGUCAAAUGCGUAACAUUUUGACUGAUUUCAGCACUGUACCUUAAAACUUAUGGUUUUCUUAAAUCUACUUUGCAUUUUAAAUGAAAAAGAAGAAAGGAUUCCAAGCUCCUUUUAGAAUCAAAAGCACUGGGGUGGAAUUCAUGUGUCAUAAUAUUCAGGAAAAACAGCCAGAUAUAAUCGUAAGUGCACCAAAUAGAAAGAAAAUGGAUAUGUACACAUGAAAACCUAAUAAAACAGAAAAC
RNAcentral lists this non-coding RNA (557 nucleotides) under Pan troglodytes (chimpanzee). Lineage: Eukaryota; Metazoa; Chordata; Mammalia; Primates; Hominidae. The record is from RNAcentral.